UAUACGCUGGGAGGCUGUCAUUGGCAUGGUUGCCAGACUGGGGUGUAAACACAGCAUGACACCUGUUCAGUCUGUUACCUGGGAGCUGAAUGGAACACAGAUAGUUUAUAAGGACAAGGCACAACAAAAAAUUAUGGAAGGAUACGAUUUGAAAGAAUCCGAAGGAAACGUGUACCUGAUCAUCAAGAACGUAAAGGAGAGUAAUGCUGGGAAUUACGUGUGCAGCGUUUUUCAAGUUGAAGGCGGAUUUGAACAAGUACAUGGGAAACUGCAUGUGAAAGCUUUCAGUACCAUGAUACAAAGCUCAUUAGCAGUGAUCUUAUCAGGACUGCUUCUUCACAUGGUUCUCCUGCAUCUUUAGAUACACUUGCCAUGUCCCGCUGACAGUGCAUUGGAUGGGCGGGCAGUGGUACGGUCCACAGCAAACAUUAAGAUGUCUGGCUAGCCUUCUUAAUUUCUCUCUCUCUCUCUCUCUCUCUCACUCCCACACACACAGUUUUGUGCAUUGUCAUUGACUGUUAUGGUUGAUAAUAUUCAGGGCCAUAGCUAGGGAGUUCUGGACCCCCUGAAAAAAUAUUGAUGUGGGGCCCCCACCACCCUGCGCCCAUAUUGUAUACAGUAUGGAGGCCCACAUCUACGGUGCCAUAGGGACCCUCUAACUCAUCUUUGGAAUGGGGUUGCGGGUCAGAUGACGCGAAAGUCAAAUCUGUUGGUGCAGAACAUAUUUUAAAAGUUUAGCAUAGUCGAUUUACUUGUAACAUAACAUGGUAAUGAUGUUAACACUUUUAUUUCAAAAGUUAAAUGUUUGUUUUGAUGUAAUAUUUAUACAAUGACAUUAAGUCAUUAAUAACUUCUUAUGAAACAUAGUUUAAAGUCCUCAAGCAAUUAUUCAAGACAAACUAAUAAAAUAAAAGACAAGAAAUUAAUAAAAUAGUGAAAUGAAUUAAAGUACCAACAAUAUGUCUUUCCAGUCAGCCUGGUGUCUGACAGCUGAAGUAAAGAUUCAGAAAUUGAUAAGAAUUGAGUCAAAUGGAAAAUAAAACCACUUAAAUUACUCAUUGCCUUCAUUUUUGAUGAAGAUAACGUUACCGCAGAAUAUAUUAUUUAAAUAAAGCUAAUAAAUGUAUCCAUCCAAGAGAAGCGAGUUGUAUUUGCGUUUUCUUGACAGUAUUGUUAUGGUGCAUAUCCAGUUUUUCCGCAUUAUAAAAACCAACUUUAUUUACAUAAUAGUGCAGAAAGGUGGGGACUUUGUAUAUCGUUCGGUGAGCGUGCCAGGGGCAUGGAAAGGAGCAGCGGGCAGCUCUUAUUAGGUGUCCUGUUCUCACGAAAGUGUAAAAUAAGACGGAGAAAUUAUCUGCUCACAGCAUCCCGUCUCAUUGACAUCCCUACAGUGCACUUACCUGUCUUCCUAAAGAAGGUCUUUAUAGACGGAUCCAGCAGUUCUCCUGGCCUCCUCCUUCUUUUCAUUACUUUUCUGGUACCCAGAUUUAUGUCUCUCCCCCCCCCCCGACAUUUUCAAUCACCCAGUCUGCUGUUCUCCCACUGUAGCUUCACCUCUAACUUUAACUCUUCUCAGAUCAGCCUCGACUCUCGAUUGGUGAUGUUCACUAGCUGGGGUGGGACUUACCAUUUUAUUGGGUCCCUCUGCUGUUUGUCACUGACUAAGCUGAACUAAUUAACCAUCGGACUGAAUCAUUUUUAGGGAGAGGAGAUAUUUGGAAAACUUCUUUCACAAAAUUGCAUGUUUUUGUGGUUUUCAUUAAACUCUCAGCCAUACAAGCUGAAGCUGUAUAGUGGGGCCCCUAUAAUUGUCAUCAACUUUCACCCCACUAGCAAUGGCCCUGAUAAUAUUUACACAUAAGUCUGCAAGUGAGCUCAAGAAAUGGCAAACUAGCUUGCAGAUUAGCUUGCUUACAGUGAAUGGGUUUCAUUUUCUUCUCAUAAAAACAUUCCCAUUAGGGGUGAACCAUAGUGGCUUUGAUGGUUUUCAUCAAAGCUGUAAUAUACAGUAAAUUACAUUUAUAUGUAUAUAAAACCUUUUUCAAAACAUGUAGAUAAGUAUCUGUUUCUGGUACAUUUUCACAGAAUGUGUGCAUACUCUUGUCAUUCGUGCCGUUGUUGAGAAAGAGUGCUGUGUAACACUAACAGUAAAUUGAAUGGCAUGUCCAGACAGGGAAAAGUGUUAAGGCUUUAUGAGAAGCUGUACUGCUAAGGGAAUGUCCCACUGCAUGUACAGAAUGUUAAUGGAUGUGUUUUUAAUGGUGUACAAAAGAGCCAUUAGGCGCAGGAUCCUGUGCAGUUUAUCACAAGACACUUGGGUUCCUGGCUUCACUGACGGUGCAGUUGAUGGAACCACGGCACAUGUCAGCAGGCCGAGAGCAUGUAGGUUUUAGAGCCGCCUCGUGUUUCCAGGUUCUACCUCCAGCGUUGAAAUGCGGCUCUCGACACUAUAAAAGUGCCUCGGCCCACGUGCUCAGACUUGUGGUUUCACACCCCCUUGAACGUUUAACGCCACAAGUUACUUCAGCAUGUUACUUGAGAAUCAGAAAGAGGUAACGGAGCUUUUAGCGCCUUUACUGUCCAGCCAAGACUAGUUUCAGUUGCUUUUGCUUCUGAAGCAUCACUGGCCAUGUUCAGGCUUCUCCCAUUUCAAGUUUGUCACUUUAGCCUUAGCUCUCCCCCCUCUGCUGAGUGCAAGGAGACGUUGGAUGAUCAAGCCACAGUGUGAUUCCCCUAAACUUCUCUGAGCAACUUCCUCCAUGGCCUCUGCUUGUAUGUCCUUGAAUAGGACACACUGCUCACUUUUGAUUUCAUACCUUUACAAAAAUGAUUUCCAACGUCCCAAAAGUCAAGGGGGUCAGUGCUUCAGAAGUACUACCAUCCUAUGACAACUUUUUUCAAGCUUAAUGUUUGUCAUAUUUAUUUUAAAAUUUCUGCAUAAAGUUAAAAAUUCUAACGUGGAUAUAAGACCAUCUCAACCUUACACCAGUCGGUGCAGUAUUACCCUGAUUCAAUGGUUACCCUGUUCUCUUGCUUGCCAGUGGUUGCCACUUGAGUUCAGGAUAAUUUUUUUUUUUGCUUUGUUUUUCCCGUUUCACUUUUGUACUGUAGCAGUUGCAUUUUAACUCAGUUAAACUUUUUGUUUCAAUGGCACAUUUAAUUAUAUGUAGCUGCAAUACAAGCUUAACCACUUACAGUAUAAUGUAUUGUAUUUCAGCUUGCUACUGCUGACUCCCAUUUUUAAUGUCAUUUCAUAAAUGUAUCUAAUAAAACUCAAAUCUUAGAGCAGCGUGAC
Scleropages formosus (Asian bonytongue) is the source of this 3295-nucleotide long non-coding RNA. RefSeq lists it as uncharacterized. NCBI's taxonomy places the organism in Eukaryota, Metazoa, Chordata, Actinopteri, Osteoglossiformes, Osteoglossidae. The transcript is spliced from 3 exons. The record is from RefSeq and is a predicted model, not a curated record.